RNAcentral lists this ribosomal RNA (373 nucleotides) under uncultured organism. RNAcentral describes it as "partial 16S ribosomal RNA". It matches the Rfam family "Bacterial small subunit ribosomal RNA", at positions 527 to 896 of the family's 1533-position model. The record is from RNAcentral.
GUAGGUGGCAAGCGUUGUCCGGAAUUAUUGGGCGUAAGGCGCGCGCAGGCGGUUCUUUAAGUCUGAUGUGAAAGCCCACGGCUCAACCGUGGAGGGUCAUUGGAAACUGGAGAACUUGAGUACAGAAGAGGAAAGCGGAAUUCCACGUGUAGCGGUGAAAUGCGUAGAGAUGUGGAGGAACACCAGUGGCGAAGGCGGCUUUUCUGGUCUGUAACUGACGCUGAGGCGCGAAAGCGUGGGGAGCAAACAGGAUUAGAUACCCUGGUAGUCCACGCCGUAAACGAUGAGUGCUAAGUGUUAGGGGGUUUCCGCCCCCCUUAGUGCUGCAGCUAACGCAUUAAGCACUCCGCCUGGGAGUACGGCCGCAAGGCUG